AUUGAACGCUGGCGGCAUGCUUUACACAUGCAAGUCGAACGGCAGCGCGGUCUUCGGCCUGGCUGCUAGUGGGGAACGGGUGAGUAAUACAUCUGAACGUCCCCAGCUUUGGUUGAUAGCUCGUCGAAGUACGGAUUAAUACCGCAUACUACCAGAUGGUGCACGCGGGGGAUCUUCGGACCUCUCGCGCUUGGGGGGGCCGAUGGCCGAUUUGCUAGUUUGUUGGGUAAAGGCCUACCAAGGCGACGAUCGGUAGCUGGUCUGAGAGGACGACCAGCCACACUGGGACUGAGAAACGGCCCAGACUCCUACGGGAGGCAGCAGAGGGGAAUUUUGGACACAGGGCGGAAGCAUGAUGCAGCAAGGCCGCGUGUGUGAUGAAGGCCUUCGGGUUGUAAAACACUUGUGGCGGGAACGAAAAGGACUGUGCAAAGACCACGGUUGGAUGACGGUACAAGGAGAAUAAGCACAGGCGAAAUACGUG
Molecule: ribosomal RNA, 484 nt
Filed under: uncultured bacterium
Lineage: Bacteria
Description: partial 16S ribosomal RNA
Rfam family: Bacterial small subunit ribosomal RNA
Source: RNAcentral